This is a long non-coding RNA of Triticum dicoccoides, 5186 nucleotides long. RefSeq lists it as uncharacterized. The transcript has 2 exons. The record is from RefSeq and is a predicted model, not a curated record. NCBI's taxonomy places the organism in Eukaryota, Viridiplantae, Streptophyta, Magnoliopsida, Poales, Poaceae.
GUCGAUCCUGAAGCACGCCGUCGCCGCCAUCGCGUAGCCCUCUACCUCCCAAUAUCUUGCUCCUCUGCCAACAUCAGUGAUCGCCGCCGCCGCCUCCAUUGCAGAUCUCCAGGUCACCAUGGGACCACGCCGCCCCCACCUGCGCGGAACCCGAGGGAAUGGCGCUAGGAACCCAAGCUGCAGGGUAGGCAGCGAGGAGCGGCGCAACAAGGCCCUGCCGGCUGUGCUGUACGCCAGGAAAGGGGCGGGCGCACGGGGAGGGGCCGCGGUGCGUGCGAGGGUCGCCGAGGCCUCCGUGCCCGUGGUCGCAGCCGAGGGCCACGGUAGGCAGGAGCCCCCACCGCAUCCGCUGUCGAGAUCCCCGUCACGUGCUGCCAGGUGAGGUUGUUUUCCGGGGGCGCACAACACCCAGGAGCCCCCACAACGCCACCUGCGAUGAUCCCGCCGCCAGUGUCAGCCACGGCCAUGUCCGACGCCCUCGGCCUCUUCAUCAUCGGGUCGCACUUUCUUUGCCUGUGUCAACCGUGUUACUGUGCCGGCGAUCUCCUCCGACAUGAAGUUUCUGGGCUGAUUCAGGCCGCCCGAGGGGCCACAAGGACACGGGAAGUCGACCCCGUGCUCGGUUCCCUCUGCCGCUAUAGUCUAUCAUCUUGGCCUAAUUCUGCCGCCCUCCUCGAUUCCGUUUACCCGCUGUCACGCCCUACUCCUACACCCACGGUCAGCCUAGCUCCACAUCUCCCUCAAGUUUGUCAUUGUGUAACCCCUCACAAUUUGGUGUCUUCCCAGCCGUAGUUCCUCUGUGCCUGGCGCUGCAAACUCCCCGCUCAGCGGUCACGAGAUCUCACUGGAAACAAUUAUACAGGGUGAGAUGCAGAACUACCACCUAAUUUGGGAACUGCAUCAUUAAUUAGGUGCGGCUGUAGGUUUAGUCUGCGUUGCCCUCUAAUUUUCUAGGUGUUCAGUACAUAAUUUGAAUGUACGAAUGGCUUAGCAUCAACUUCAUCCGCAUUGCUCUGCUCCAAUUGUUGCAUUCCCCUAGCUAAAUUAAUUUGUCUGGUUGUCUCCAUUGCCAAAAAAAAGUGGACUAAAUUUUCUAGCGUUCAUGUGUAUUUGAUUCUAAUGUAGUGUUUAAGAAUGAAAUCACUUAAGUUUUGCACUCCAGUACCUAUAUAGUCAAUGUACCUUCUAGAAGUAUGGUGCAUCUGAAUUUAGUGGCAUUUGCAUCCAUAUGAUAGAUAAUGUCUAUGGAGUGGCUUACUCAACCAAGUAUCAUGGUUUUUGGUGAAAAUAUUAAGGUAAGGUUGUCCCUGCUUUCUUCUUGUUUGAUGUACUGACUCCUGACUCCUGAUGCAUGAAUGUUGUUUAUUCUGAUAAAUAAUGUUUGAUUAGUUUGUGUAUGCAACUCAGAGCUAUGAUAGAUGAAAUUGGAUUGUUUCUGGAACUUCAAAUGAUUCUGAACAUAAGUAAUAACAAAAUGGAACUAUGUAUGCUGGAAACGCAAUAAAGUGCAGUUAUGCAUGUGUUUUGACAUGCUUAGAGGUCACAACGUGCCUUGGACGCUUAUCACAAUCCUCAGCAAGAUGACAAAAGUGCAUAGGUGCUGGUGUAUUUCUAAUACUCAUAUCUCAUAGGUGCUAAUAACAAUCUGGUGUAUUUUUUUUUUGAGGGCACGAAGAAAUAAUAUUGAAGUGUUGUAGGUUGAAAAUAUAAUUGACGAAAAACACACAGGGAAAAAGGUCUUGCUAGAAAUUGUUUAUGAUGCCGAAUUCUCUCCCCUUGUAAUUAGAAGCUUCUAGCCUUAGAUUUGAUGACUCACCUGAUCACUAUAAUUUAUCAUUUCAACUACGACACAGGUAAUUUUCGACACUCCCUUUUUGCCUCUGAACAAGUUUAAUAAUGACUUCGAUGUUUAGAAUAUGCUCCUUAUGUCUGUUAUCGUUUCUUAAAACGACACAUAUAUAAGACCCAACUAUUUGAUUGUUGUUUUGUUUAAUCAGAUCAUUGGGGAAGAUUCGAUACCAUGCUUCUUAUUUCGGUUGACCAUUUUCUAAAGUUGUUGAGCGACAUUGUGUUCAUAUAUAAUGUACCAAAUUAUUAGUACUAGACGUCUAUACAUUCUACCUUCAAUAUUUUUCGGAACAAAGAUUCAUCUUCUUUGGUGCCGUUUCAUGACAUAAAAGAAUUCAUCAAACACAUUUUUUCUCGAGUUUUUGUCGAGUAUUGUAUAACUGAUGUUGCCCAGCCUAUUCUUCUAUGUUAAUAGCUAUCCAGUUAUAUCUAUUCUUUUGUUUGCACUUCGUGAAAGAUGUGUGGCCUACAAUAGUGUGAGUGUUACCUCUCCUUCAAGCUAACUUCUUUUUUUCAGAAAGCCUUCUUGAAGAUAUGUAGCCAUCAAUAUUUUACUACACCUUCUGUAGAGAAAGAAAGAUAGGGAUUGGACUGGUUGUUGUUGUUACUUUUGUCUGAGAGAUAUGGGACACACAUGGAGAGAUGGAACAGCCGGGGGGCUAGGAUGCCUCUUGAUCUGCAGGAGCUAAAUUUGCUGCCGAAGUUACUCUGGUAUCUAACUGACAUGUAAAGGAGUCAUGAACAGGUGAACCCAUACUGAAAAUGCCACAUGUGUACAAUAUAAACUUCUGGAUAAGCAUGGAUACAGAAAUGAGCAUUUAUUCCCAAUUGUUUGAGAAAGACUGUGGAGAUUGAUAUCAAGUACGGAGUAUGAAGGUUUCAUGGCAUGACUAAAGUCAAUUACAACAGGUAAUAUGUUCCAAAAAAAUACAACAGGUAAUUUGCUUAUGGUCUUGCUAAUCGAGAAAAUUUUCAUUUUCUUUGUCGAGGAACUUGUUUUUAGCUGUUUUGUAGCAGUAAUUGAUUCUUCUUCAUUGUUCUGCAUUAUAAUAAAUAAUGUUGGGGUUAUAAGUUUUUUUGUUUCUUUUCUUAAGAAAAGAACCAGUUCCACUGACUUUGAUAGGUUCAGUUAUUUAAUUUGUCUUGCUUGCUACUUGAAAAUCUGUCCACCACUAAUAGUGGUUUCCCUCUCCAGAUUAUAACCCAGGAACACAGGAAACCCCUGGACUUUCCAAAACUAGGCAAAUCACCCCCUGUCACUGAUUAUGGUGGUUUUUGCGAGCAGUUUUGCCUACGUGACAAGUUUCCGGUUAAGGAAAUUGGAUUUGAUUGCCACGCUGGACCCUCUUGAUCCUAGCGUCGAACAGAGCCUGGGGUAGGGGGCGUCACGGCGGCUGGUUGACAAGCUGGUUAGUUCUCGUACGUCCCGGUCGCUGCUGUUUUUUAGGUCUGUGGUAAAGCGUUGUGAAGAUUGGGGCUGGGGUUUGGGGCGGUGGACAUAGGGCUUUGGGGUGGCAUUGAUCUUUGAUUGUUGUAGCCCUUCGAUUUGGGUAGUUCCUGUUGAUUUGGAGCGGCAGAUAGAGGGGUUUGGGGCAAAUGAAAAUCCUUAAUCAAUCUUACAUGAUCUGCGGGAGGUUAUUUUUAGACCAUGCAGUAGAGGAACUGCAUGUCAAUUCAUUAAGAUAGACAAACAAGUCUGAAAAAACGCUGCCAAGAAUGGCCAAGCACCCAAUGCAUGAUAGGACUGAAGAAACUGAAACUGUACAAUGUUGUACCAUGGGGCUUAUAUGUCAGUUAAAUUACUCUUGGUAGUGAAAGGAAACAGGGAACAUAAGCUAUCAAGCACGUUGUAUGUUGUAUGAGAGAUAUACAGGGAAUAGGGAACAAAGAGAUGUUUGAGGCACUCUGUUUUUUUGGUAGCUUGAUCGGCGCUUUGUGGGAGGCAGAGCAGGUAAGUCCCGAGCUCUCAAUGGCUCAAGGUGAUUGGCACUUACGUAUCAUAGUCGAUCUUUUUGGAAGAUUGGGGAUGGGGUGGAGAGGCGUAGGGAGGUUUGGGCUGGGUUAUAGUGAGUUGCAGGUUUCAGGUUAUUUGCACUACUAGCUGGGUCAAAAUCUCCAUGGCUUGCAUUUAUGAUCAGCAACAUGUACUUUGUAUUUGAUCAAUAAACAUAGAUAUUCAUGGGGUCGUGGAGUAGGAAUGUAGCUAGGAUGAAAAUACAACUCACACGUACCAGUGUAGUAGUACAUCAAACUUUCUUUUAAUAGCAUACGUGUGUGAUCACUCAAAUAUAAUAACACUGUUUCAUGAGUUCAGAAAUUUGAAAAAAUUCAGAAGCAAAUCAUAAUAUGUGCGGCCAGAAAUAUGUGGUUUUUAUGCUUGUUUGUAGAUUGCUGUCGAGUUCAUCAAUUUAGGGGUUAGACUAUUGAAAUGAUCUAUAUCCAGAAGGCAUAUAUGUGUGUGUGUGAUGUUGUGGGUCUGAUUGCACAUGGAUUAAAUCUUACAUAUGUGCAAACUGCAAAGGACUUGUAUAUGUGUUUAUUUUGCAGAUAUGACACCACUCAAUUACCUAUCUGUUCGGUUUCAUUUCCGAGGUGAAUUGCAUCAUGAUGAAAGUGAAUGGAAGUAUUUGAAUGGAAGGUCAGGAAUGUCCACAAUUGAGUGUGACAAAAUGUGUCUACAAUAGUUGAAGAAACACCUUGCAGAUCAUGUUUCCUAUUCUGAUGAAGUACUAAAUGUGACAACUUUGUACUGGAAGUUUCCUUUAAAGGGCACAGGUGCUCUUGUUGUUAUGAAUGACGAAGAAUCUAAACAAGAGCAGCUACAAGGAGAAAAGGCCAAUCAAGCAAGAACAGAGCAAGUUCCUGUUCCAUGAAGACGACAAAGUUCAGCUCCUGGUCCAUCAACAAAGCAAGCACCUACAACAUCUAAGCCACCAAAUAGGAAGAAGAAGGCCUCAACUUCUCAAAAUAAUCCUGACACUGCACCUUUCUAUGAGAGAGCAAAGAACAGAAGGAAAGCACAUACACAAUCAUCUUAACCUCCUUCCAUGGCAUCUUCUUAUCAAUUAGCAUCAGGGUCGAUAUCUCAGCCAAUGCCAAACCAGUCAGGAUUCUCAUGGUUGUUAUAUGGCAAUAAAUGAACUUGUAGUUACAUAUAGUGAAACAGAACUGAACUUGUAGUUCAUGGUUGAUUGUUUUGCAUGCUCUGGUUCAUGCUUUAUUAUUAUGUAAAACUACUACUGGUAGCACUUGUUCCCUAUUAUGUGUCACAUGCACUGUUCGAUGAUGUGGGUGUGAUAUGGGCAUGACUGGUUCUUAUGUGAUUUCCCUGUUGUGUU